CGCAAUGGGCGAAAGCCUGACGGAGCAACGCCGCGUGAGGGAUGAAGGCCUUUGGGCUGUAAACCUCUUUUCUCAAGGAAGAAGAUUUGACGGUACUUGAGGAAUAAGCCACGGCUAAUUCCGUGCCAGCAGCCGCGGUAAUACGGGAGUGGCAAGCGUUAUCCGGAAUUAUUGGGCGUAAAGCGUCCGCAGGCGGCCUUGUAAGUCUGUCGUUAAAGCGUGGAGCUUAACUCCAUUUCAGCGAUGGAAACUACAAGGCUUGAGUGUGGUAGGGGCAGAGGGAAUUCCCGGUGUAGCGGUGAAAUGCGUAGAUAUCGGGAAGAACCCCAGUGGCGAAGGCGCUUUGCUGGGCCCUUUCUGACGUUCCUGGACGAAAGUCA
This 380-nucleotide ribosomal RNA is filed under the name uncultured cyanobacterium. Its description in RNAcentral is "bacterial SSU rRNA". It matches the Rfam family "Bacterial small subunit ribosomal RNA", at positions 367 to 762 of the family's 1533-position model. The record is from RNAcentral. Lineage: Bacteria; Bacillati; Cyanobacteriota.